CCUACGGGAGGCAGCAGUGAGGAAUAUUGGUCAAUGGACGCAAGUCUGAACCAGCCAUGCCGCGUGCAGGAAGACGGCUCUAUGAGUUGUAAACUGCUUUUGUACGAGGGUAAAUCCCGGUACGUGUAUCGGGUUGAAAGUGUCGUACGAAUAAGGAUAGCCUAACACCGUGCCAGCAGCGGCGGUAAUACGGAGGAUUCGAGCGUUAUCCGGAUUUAUUGGGUUUAAAGGGUGCGUAGGCGGGUCGUUAAGUUAGAGGUGAAAUCCCGGGGCUCAACUCCGGCACUGCCUCUGAUACUGUAGGGCUAGAGUUUAGUUGCGGUAGGCGGAAUGUAUGGUGUAGCGGUGAAAUGCAUAGAGAUCAUGCAGAACUCCGAUUGCGAAGGCAGCUUACCGAACUACAACUGACGUUGAGGCACGAAAGCGUGGGGAGCAAACAGGAUUAGAUACCCUUGUAGUC
RNAcentral lists this ribosomal RNA (460 nucleotides) under uncultured bacterium. RNAcentral describes it as "partial 16S ribosomal RNA". It matches the Rfam family "Bacterial small subunit ribosomal RNA", at positions 338 to 795 of the family's 1533-position model. The record is from RNAcentral.